GACGAACGCUGGCGGCGUGCUUAACACAUGCAAGUCGAACGGGCUCUGUCUGGCUGUGUGCUGGGUGGGGUUAGUGGCGAACGGGUGAGUAAUACGUGAGUAACCUGCCCUCUUCUUUGGGAUAAGCCUUGGAAACGGGGUCUAAUACUGGAUAUUCCUGUCUGGUCGCAUGGCUGGGUGGGGAAAGUUUUUUUCGGUGGGGGAUGGGCUCGCGGCCUAUCAGCUUGUUGGUGGGGUGAUGGCCUACCAAGGCGUCGACGGGUAGCCGGCCUGAGAGGGUGACCGGCCACACUGGGACUGGGAUACGGCCCAGACGCCUACGGGAGGCAGCAGUGGGGGAUAUUGCACAAUGGGCGCAAGCCUGAUGCAGCGACGCCGCGUGGGGGAUGACGGCUUUCGGGUUGUAAACCUCUUUCGUCGGGGGACAAGGCUCUGCUUGGUGGUGGGGUUGAGGGUGCCCGGUGAAGAAGCGCCGGCUAACUACGUG
Molecule: ribosomal RNA, 487 nt
Filed under: uncultured bacterium
Lineage: Bacteria
Description: partial 16S ribosomal RNA
Rfam family: Bacterial small subunit ribosomal RNA
Source: RNAcentral